GGAGGGAUCAUUAACAUCCAAAACUUUUUUGCCUACUUCGGUAGGCAAAAAUACACACCAAAUUACGUUGAAUUUUAUAGCAGUAAUUAAAUAUCUUUAACCACACUGAAAGACACUAAAUUAUCUACUAGGGAGUGCAUCCCUCAGCAGAAUAAAAAAAAUCACUGUUAACAACGGAUCUCUAGGCUCCUGUAACGAUGAAGAGCGCAGCGAAAUGUGAUAAUUGAUGUGAAUUGCAGAAAUACGUGAAUCAUCGAAACCUUGAACGCAGCUUGCGACGGAUAGUAACUCUCUCCGUCAUGUUUGUUCGAGUGCCAGCUUAACCCUCACCUACAAAAGCAAUUUUGUGCUGGUGGAUGCUGGCUCUUGAGUCUUCUUCUCGAAGGCUUAUGACGCUCAAAUAAUGCAGCAUGCCUACUCUAGUAGGGGUAACCACUUGCGUACUGAUUUUUCAGAACAAAUUUGGCCCUACAAGACUGGCUCUUAUUGCUGCCUUUCAUCAUAUGAAUUAUUUAAUUAUUUGGCCUCGGACAAGCAAGAUUACCCGCUGAAUUUAAGCAUAUUAAUAAGCGGAGGACAAGAAACCAACAGGGAUUCCCGUAGUAAGGGCGACUGAAGUGGGAAAAGCUCAAGCUUAAAAUCGCAGGGCGCAAGCUCUGAGAAUUGUAGUUUUGUAGGCAACUUUUAGGGGAGGCGGUGGACUAAGUCUCUUGGAAUAGAGCACCAUAGAGGGUGACAGUCCUGUGAGUCUGCUGCUGAACCGUAUACUGUUGCUUGAAGAGUCGGGUUGUUUGGGAGUACAGCCCUAAGUGGGAGGUAAAUUCCUUCUAAAGCUAAAUACUGACAGGAGACCGAUAGCGAACAAGUACCGUGAGGGAAAGAUGAAAAGCACUUUGAAAAGAGAGUCAAAAGUACGUGAAAUUGUUAGCAGGGAAGCGCUUCAGACAAGUAGUAUGCUUGCUGCAGCUCAGCUAUUGUAAGUGAAAUGUCGGCGACCCUUUGGGCACAUCAGUGCUUGAGAUAGCUGGCGUAUGAAGCUUGCAGUGGUGUACUCUGUAGUAUAGCCGGGCAGCGUGAGUUAGCUCUUGAGGAGAAAGGUAUCAGGAAGGUAGCAAGCUUCGGCUUGUGUUAAGACUGGUACCCAUACUCUCGAGCUGACUGAGGGAUAAAAUUUUAUCACAGAAGGAGCUUUAGCGGGCGACGUGCGUUGCAGUUGCAAAGUAUAGGUCGGACAGCGUGCUGUGCGGUUUGUAUGAUGUGAUUUCCAGCGUACUAGCACCUUCCUUCUCAGGACGCUUCCAAAAUUGUCUGAAUCGUCCCGUCUUGAAACACGGACCAAGGAGUCUAACAUGUGUGCGAGUGACUGAGUGGAAAACUCAGGCGCGAAAUGAAAGUGAGGCGCAGUAUGCUUGGGGUCUCCCUGAGUUGACCUGCGGGCCGAUCUUGAAGUUUACGGAUAGAUUUGAGCUGGAGCACAUCUGUUGGGACCCGAAAGAUAGCGAACUAUGCUUGCAUAGGGUGAAGCCAGAAGAAAUUCUGGUGGAGGCUCGUAGCGAUACUGACGUGCAAAUCGUUCGUCAAAUGUGAGUAUAGCGGCGAAAGACUAAUCGAGCUGUCUAGUAGCUGGUUUCCUC
This 1634-nucleotide unclassified non-coding RNA is filed under the name uncultured fungus. RNAcentral describes it as "sequence contains 18S rRNA gene, ITS1, 5.8S rRNA gene, ITS2, 28S rRNA gene". The stretch from base 521 to 1634 matches the Rfam family "Eukaryotic large subunit ribosomal RNA", at positions 1 to 961 of the family's 3401-position model. Lineage: Eukaryota; Fungi. The record is from RNAcentral.